GGAGUUAGCCGGUGCUUCUUCUGUGAGUGAUGUCCUUCCUGCCGGCUAUUAACCCGCAGGCCUUCUUCCUCACUGAAAGUGCUUUACAACCCGAAGGCCUUCUUCACACACGCGGCAUGGCUGGAUCAGGGUUGCCCCCAUUGUCCAAUAUUCCCCACUGCUGCCUCCCGUAGGAGUCUGGGCCGUGUCUCAGUCCCAGUGUGGCUGAUCAUCCUCUCAGACCAGCUACGGAUCGUCGCCUUGGUGAGCCGUUACCUCACCAACCAGCUAAUCCGACAUAGGCUCAUCCGAUAGCGCGAGGACCGAAGGUCCCCCGCUUUCCCCCGUAGGGCGUAUGCGGUAUUAGCCUGGGUUUCCCCAGGUUAUCCCCCACUACCGGGCAGAUUCCUAUGCAUUACUCACCCGUCCGCCGCUCGCCACCAGGGAGCAAGCUCCCCGUGCUGCCGCUCGACUUGCAUGUGUUAGGCCUGCCGCCAGCGUUCAAUCUGAGCCAGAAUCGAACCCUGA
This 507-nucleotide ribosomal RNA is filed under the name uncultured bacterium. Its description in RNAcentral is "partial 16S ribosomal RNA". The record is from RNAcentral.